CCUACGGGAGGCAGCAGUGGGGGAUAUUGCACAAUGGGCGAAAGCCUGAUGCAGCGACGCCGCGUGAGGGAAGACGGUCUUCGGUUUGUAAACCUUUUUCUAUGGGGAAGAAAAUGACGGUACCCAAAGAGGAAGCUCCGGCUAACUACGUGCCAGAUGCCGCGGUAAUACGUAGGGAGCAAGCGUUGUCCGGAAUUACUGGGUGUAAGGGGAGCGUAGGCGGGUUGGCAGGUAGAAUGUAAAAUCCGUCGGCUCACCCGGGGGCUGCGUCCAAAACUGCCGGUCUUGAGUGUAGUAGAGGCGGGCGGAAUUCCUAGUGUAGCGGUGAAAUGCGUAGAUAUUAGGAGGAACACCAGUGGCGAAGGCGGCCUGCUGGACUUUAACUGACACUGAGGCUCGAAAGCGUGGGGAGCAAACAGGAUUAGAUACCCCUGUAGUC
Molecule: ribosomal RNA, 439 nt
Filed under: uncultured bacterium
Lineage: Bacteria
Description: partial 16S ribosomal RNA
Rfam family: Bacterial small subunit ribosomal RNA
Source: RNAcentral